Non-coding RNA from Odocoileus virginianus texanus, 2804 nucleotides. NCBI's taxonomy places the organism in Eukaryota, Metazoa, Chordata, Mammalia, Artiodactyla, Cervidae. The record is from RefSeq and is a predicted model, not a curated record.
CCUAGAUCUAAAGAAAUCCUGUUCAAUUCCACUCCCUCUCCUAGAGCCCCAGUAUAGCCAUGUGAAUGAACCUAGGCUACCCUACUGCAGGAGGAGUGUCUGUGAGGAGGGUCCAGAUGCGGCUCUGGGCCAUCAGAUGUGCCAUCUGAGGCCAUCCUAGACCUGCCUGCAGCCAGCCAACUCCCAAACCUGUGAGACAGCCCAGCCCAGAAAGCAGAGCUGAUGCACCAAAUGAUAGCUGACUCUGAGGAUGCAUGAGACCAGAAGAACUGUCCUGCUCUCUCUCCAGACGUGUGAGCAUUAAGAGAUGCUUAUUGUUGAAGUCAUUUAUAGUAUGGGGGUGAUUUGUUAUGCAGCAGAAUCUAACGGGUACAGCAUGGAGUACAAAGAACUCUUAAAGUGCUGCUCUCAAUAUGCCAGCAAAUUUGUAAAACUCAGCAAAGGCCACAGGACUGGAAGAGGAAACAGUGGUGAAUGAGACGUUGCUCACACCUUCAGUGGUUUGCUGUCUAGUUGGGGAAACACCACCAAAUAAAAAGAACCCCAUCACAACUGGCUCUUAAAGGAUCCCUCUCAAGAAGAAGGGUCAUUCCAGGCAGGAAGAUCAGCAUGAAAGGAGGCACGGAGACAUAAAAGCAUCUCUCUCCCACCUAAGGCCAUCCUUCAAUCAGCAGGGAAUCUGAGCAUCCCAUCCCUCAACAGUGAAGGAAUAGGGAGGAAAAACAAGUACCAAGUAACAUUCUCUGAGUCAACAUGAGAACUCAGCACUUUAGAUGGAGUCACGUAACCAUCUCAACAACUUAGGUGGUAAGAGUUUUCAGAAAUGAGGAGACUUGCCUAAAAUCACAGAGUUAAGAGGUGGCAUGGAUCAUCUCCCAGCAAUGUAGAAUCAUGCCUCAGCUUUGGAAACAGAGAGACAGGGGUUUAGAUUCCCCACUAUUUAUUUUUUAUUUUUUGGUCCCUUACUAGCUGCAUGACCUGCAGAUAAGGUGACACAUAUCAAGCCAUUUGUUAUUACUAUUUAUAAUAGCAACUAGCAGCCAUUUGUUAUUACUAUUCAUAUUACUAUUGAUAAUUUGUUAUUACUAUUUAUAACAAAUAAUUAUAAUUCAAAGCAACCUGACUGAACAGAUACAAAUAUUACAGGAAAAAGAGAGAGUAAAGGAAAGAAAUGAAACUAUUUCCCCUUUCCACCCAGCAUGGGGGCUCUGGGGUCUUCAUGCCUUUGGGGCCUGGAGUUCAGAGAGCAGGAGCCAACUCCUCCAUCUGCCCCAGGAAAGACACCAGCCACACCCUCACGAGGCUCUGCCUUCCCACCUCCAACGUGGCUACUGCCGGCUGCACCAGGGCUGCCCCACGAGGCAGGGAGGACACGUCUUCAAGGAGACACUCACGUCUGAACUGUCCCCCAGGAUUUGCAGGCUGCACACAGUUUGUCCCCACUGGACUCCUUGAACAUCUGGGCUCCUGCUGCUGCCUCUAGGAAAGUUCUGCACCAGGCUUUAUCUCAAAAUCCUUGGAUGAACCCAUGUUUGUGCUCAAGAAUUUGGCUGGCUACUUAGGAGCAAGGUGAAUAAAGCAAAACUGAGAGGAUCAGUAUAUGGUGCAAAUCACACGCUUAUCUUGAGAGAUGGGAUCUGGUUUGGGAGAUGGAUUUCUAACUCAGACGCUGAGGCUACAGCAAUGAACAUAACACAGUGGAGUGGAAUAAACAAUUAUGGAAUGAAUGAAUGAGAGCCCGCCCUCCUGGCCACACUCUUCCUGAGUUGACUCCUCUAGUACGUGACUUCCCUGAUGGGCAGCGUGGGGCAUCCUAGUCCCUCCACCCUGCCUGCUGUUUGGUCCUCCCAAGUGUCUCCUUUGCUUUUGAGAAACCUAAGAAGACAAGCCAUGCCAUUUCAUUUUCUCCAACUCCUCCUGACCAAAUGCACCCCCAUCCUUGCAGAUUUUUAAUAACAAUGUGGCUGCCCUGGGGAUUACGUACACCAAGUCAAGGAGAGAAGAUCCAGGAUGGUGAGCAGGCCCAGUGACUCCACCCUUCCUCCACGCUCUUUACCUAAGAGUCCUCCUGGGCCCCCAGGAAGCAUGGCUGUCUCCCAGGGUUUACAUGCUUUAAGCGCUUCACGAGUCCCUUAUCACCUAUCCUGGAACCACGACUGGCUGGGAGGAAAAGAAAGGAAGGAAAAAAAUGGGACCUAUUUAUCUGUUACUCCAUUUCCUAAAAUUUUGGAGCCUUGAGAAGAAAAGCUAGCAGAUGUUAGGAUAUUUGGCCAAAUAAAUAAUAUCAAAUAAGCCAUCAAAAUCAACCCUUCACCAUUAGCAUGACACAAUUCAAUAGCAACAACAAAAAUGUUUGGUCCAGUGGGUGGAAAAGGGAAUGAAAUCUACAGUCUUCUCUACUUUUCAAACACAAUUAGGUUACAGUCCAGAGAGGAGGAAAGUGAUUAGAAUUAACACCCUAUUAAAUUCCAAUACGACCUGAAUUAUUCUCAAAAUUUGUCUUACUUGCGGGAAAAAAAAGGGAUCCAAAAUGAAAACAUUCACUCAUUCAUUCAGUCAGUCAUCUAUUUGUUGAGAUAAUGCUUACUGAACACCAGCUCUGUACCCCAUACUGGAUCUCGGAAAUGCAAAGGUAGGAAGAUGACUGGUCAUCUUCAAGAGCAAGAAGAAAAAAAAAGCCUGUACAAAGGAUACUAAAAAGAUGGCUCUAGGGCCCCUAUCCGAGGCCUACUGAAGCAAACUUCUGACAUGAAAUCGGAAUUCUCCAUUUUAAGUAAACACUACAGGUGAUUCUUAAGCACUUA